UACAGAGGUGGCAAGCGUUGUUCGGAAUUACUGGGCGUAAAGGGCGCGUAGGCGGCCGCCUAAGUCAGAUGUGAAAUCCCCGGGCUUAACCUGGGAACUGCGCUUGUAACUGGCAAGCUAGAGUGUGGCAGAGGGGGGUGGAAUUCCACGUGUAGCAGUGAAAUGCGUAGAGAUGUGGAGGAACACCGAUGGCGAAGGCAGCCCCCUGGGCUAACACUGACGCUCAUGCACGAAAGCGUGGGGAGCAAACAGG
RNAcentral lists this ribosomal RNA (253 nucleotides) under uncultured bacterium. RNAcentral describes it as "partial 16S ribosomal RNA". It matches the Rfam family "Bacterial small subunit ribosomal RNA", at positions 524 to 776 of the family's 1533-position model. The record is from RNAcentral.